RNAcentral lists this long non-coding RNA (963 nucleotides) under Oncorhynchus mykiss (rainbow trout). RNAcentral's name for it is "lncRNA (ENSOMYG00000019060.2)". The record is from RNAcentral. Lineage: Eukaryota; Metazoa; Chordata; Actinopteri; Salmoniformes; Salmonidae.
AUGUUUUCUGAGGCACCCCUCAUGUCGAACCAGGGCAGGGGUGGAGAAGAGUUUGAGGAGUUAGCCAGACCAGAACCUCCACCACAGAAGCCUGUCCACAGACCAGAAAUGUACACUCAGGAGAGAAGGCGGACCCUCCAGGAGAGGACAAUGCCUUCUCAACAGGAACCUCCAGUUAGGCAGCAAGUCCCCAAGAUGAUGCCCAGAGAACCCAGUCUCCCUGCCAGAAGCAGUGAGCCCACCUCUCUUUCUCUCUCUCCAAACUCUCUCUCUUUAUCUCUCAAAAACAUGUCAAAGACACCUGAUUUAUGCUAUUAUAACCCCCGUCUUUGUUUCUCUUCUUCUCUGUGUAUCUCAGUGUCUCUGCGAAAAGCUAUGUCUCUCCAGAACUUGAGCCAGAUAGAGACACCCUGGGAAGGGGUCACCCUCAACCGCUGUCUGUUCAUAGCCAUCACCAUCCUGCUGGUCAGCACUGUCUUUCAGAAACUACACGAAACCAUAAAAGGUGGACGGGGUGUGGAGGAAGAGGAGUAUGACAUUGCACUGACUGUGAGGCGCUCCGCGCUGAGACACAAAGUCCAACCACAGGAGCCUGAGACGUCUCUGUAUGAGGUGCUCUUCUGGUGGUUACCUGACAUUGAUGACGAUAAUGAAGAAGAAGCUGAUGAAGGGGAAACCAAACAAGGUCGAGUGAAGAAAAGGGUUCGAGAGAGGUCGCUGAAGGGCCUGAGAGGCAAUGGAACACCAGAGAGAAAACUUGUAAAAGGCAGAGAGGGGAAGACAAAAGACAAGAGGGCCAAGAGAGAGAGGGAUGAAGAAACUAAGGGAAAGAAAAAGGGAAAACAGGCCAAGCUGAGAGAUGUGGAAAACAUGGAUGAGGAAGAGGAAAUAAAUGAAGGGGAAGAUGAGGUAAAACCCAAGAAGCUACAAAAGGUUAUGAAGUCAAAAGCCAGCAAAUCUUAA